CCUACGGGAGGCAGCAGUGGGGAAUAUUGCACAAUGGGGGAAACCCUGAUGCAGCGACGCCGCGUGAGUGAAGAAGUAAUUCGUUAUGUAAAGCUCUAUCAGCAGGGAAGAAAAUGACGGUACCGGAGUAAGAAGCCCCGGCGAACUACGUGCCAGCAGCCGCGGUAAGACGUAGGGGGCAAGCGUUAUCCGGAUUUACUGGGUGUAAAGGGAGCGUAGACGGCUGUGCAAGUCUGGAGUGAAAGGCGGGGGCUCAACCCCCGGACGGCUCUGGAAACUGUACGGCUGGAGUGCAGGAGAGGUAAGUGGAAUUCCUCGUGUAGCGGUGACAUGCGUCGAUAUUAGGAGGAACACCAGUGGCGACGGCGGCUUACUGGACUGUCACUGACGUUGAGGCUCGAACGCGUGGGGAGCAAACAGGAUUAGAUACCCUUGUAGUC
RNAcentral lists this ribosomal RNA (440 nucleotides) under uncultured bacterium. RNAcentral's name for it is "partial 16S ribosomal RNA". It matches the Rfam family "Bacterial small subunit ribosomal RNA", at positions 338 to 795 of the family's 1533-position model. The record is from RNAcentral.